This 462-nucleotide ribosomal RNA is filed under the name Nocardia transvalensis. RNAcentral describes it as "bacterial SSU rRNA". It matches the Rfam family "Bacterial small subunit ribosomal RNA", at positions 28 to 507 of the family's 1533-position model. The record is from RNAcentral. Lineage: Bacteria; Bacillati; Actinomycetota; Actinomycetes; Mycobacteriales; Nocardiaceae.
GACGAACGCUGGCGGCGUGCUUAACACAUGCAAGUCGAGCGGUAAGGCCCUUCGGGGUACACGAGCGGCGAACGGGUGAGUAACACGUGGGUGAUCUGCCUCGUACUCUGGGAUAAGCCUGGGAAACUGGGUCUAAUACCGGAUAUGACCACAUGUCGCAUGGUGUGUGGUGGAAAGAUUUAUCGGUGCGAGAUGGGCCCGCGGCCUAUCAGCUUGUUGGUGGGGUAAUGGCCUACCAAGGCGACGACGGGUAGCCGGCCUGAGAGGGCGACCGGCCACACUGGGACUGAGACACGGCCCAGACUCCUACGGGAGGCAGCAGUGGGGAAUAUUGCACAAUGGGCGGAAGCCUGAUGCAGCGACGCCGCGUGCGGGAUGACGGCCUUCGGGUUGUAAACCGCUUUCGACAGGGACGAAGCGAGAGUGACGGUACCUGUAGAAGAAGCACCGGCCAACUACGUG